CUCCGUAGGUGAACCUGCGGAAGGAUCAUUA
RNAcentral lists this non-coding RNA (31 nucleotides) under Aspergillus flavus. RNAcentral also lists the same sequence under 5 other names. The record is from RNAcentral. Lineage: Eukaryota; Fungi; Ascomycota; Eurotiomycetes; Eurotiales; Aspergillaceae.